This is a non-coding RNA of Acanthosepion pharaonis, 104 nucleotides long. The record is from the annotation of a GenBank genome assembly. NCBI's taxonomy places the organism in Eukaryota, Metazoa, Mollusca, Cephalopoda, Sepiida, Sepiidae.
UACAGUCAUAUCAUGUUAAAACACCGGUUCCCGUACGAUCAUCGAAGUUAAGCAACAUCAAGCCUGGUCAGUAGGCGAUCGCUUGGGAAUACCCGGUGCUGUAA